Molecule: non-coding RNA, 134 nt
Organism: Helianthus annuus (common sunflower)
Lineage: Eukaryota; Viridiplantae; Streptophyta; Magnoliopsida; Asterales; Asteraceae
Source: Rfam
AUAAAAGCAGGGAUCGAUUGCCUUUGUGAAUCGGUCUCCCGUAAACGUCAGGGAAAUAGAGUGGGCAUCGUUAUUGGGUGAACCUCUUGAUUUUUUUUCAUGACGGACAAGGUUCAGUAAACGAAGCUAUAUUU